AGUGUUUCGGACCAGUCCAUUAAUGAUCAGCCCAUAUUUUUAAUGGGCAACCCGACCAGCCCACAUAUAAUUCAUCAGCCCACUAACCCUUAAAAGCCGACCCGACCCGGUCCAUUUUCUUUUGUUGUUCAUCCCUAAACCUAAUAUCCAUAUGAGAUCCGCCGCGCCUCUCUCCUCUUCUUUCUCUUGCCUCUCUCUUCUUCAACGCGAACGGAAAAAUUGCAGAGGCCUUUUGUUCCUACAGGCCAUUUCGGGGAAAGGAAAUUAAUGCUCGUCUUUUUUCCCGUCAGUUUUCAACCGUUGUAGGUUUGUCUUCUUCUUUCCUUUUCUGUUUUCGAUCUAAAGACAUUUUAAUGGGUUUCGCCCGUUUGUGAGUUUGAAUACUCACUAGUGAUUGGUUGAUUCAAAACUUGGAGGGAUUUUUCCCUCGAUUUUCCACUCGUCUCUCACUAAAAACGAAAGGGGAUUUUAGGGUUUCUGGGACUCUCCAAUAUUGAGAUUUUCGACUUUUUCCAAAAAACAAAACUUUAAAACUUAGUCUGGGUUUCGAUUAGAACUACGAUUUUCAGUGGCAAUUCGAUCGGGUCUAAUUUUAGUUUUGUUCUUCUUUUUCAUUGUGGUCGAGUGUGUAUCGACGACUCCAAACCCCUGUUCACUGCACCCGAAGAAGAGUCUCAAAUGAGACUUGAUUUCGCCGCGAGAUCAAACGACUUCAUCACUCCACUUUGUGUCCCUAGCUCAUAAAACUCGUCCAAAACAAUUUCCCAUGACAUUCGAGACGGGACUUCUCUAUUCGGGUCUCCCCCCCCCCCCCCCCCCCCUUCGAAAAUAAUCAAGGCCGAAUCAAUGAGAAAAGGGGGGGGGGGGGGGGGGGGGGGGAGAUAAGAAAGUGCUACAUUUAAAGCAUAUCUUAUAUUUUGCUUAACUUAUUUUGUGCUUUUGAUGUGUGAGUAUUUGAUUACUUUAGAAGACCUGACUUAGUGGGUUAAUUGGGAUAUUAAUUCGGCAUAAUAGCAAAAUAUUGGAUUCAUUUUAUGACUCUAGAAGAGCUUUUAAUCGGAUAGGCUAUUUGAGACGUUAUUAUGAUAUAAUAAAUGGAAAUGUUUUAAUUCA
This is a long non-coding RNA of Lycium barbarum (goji berry), 1113 nucleotides long. RefSeq lists it as uncharacterized. The transcript is spliced from 2 exons. Lineage: Eukaryota; Viridiplantae; Streptophyta; Magnoliopsida; Solanales; Solanaceae. The record is from RefSeq and is a predicted model, not a curated record.